GACGAACGCUGGCGGCGUGCUUAACACAUGCAAGUCGAACGGAAAGGCCCUGCUUUUGUGGGGUGCUCGAGUGGCGAACGGGUGAGUAACACGUGAGUAACCUGCCCUUGACUUUGGGAUAACUUCAGGAAACUGGGGCUAAUAUCGGAUAGGAGCUCCUGCUGCAUGGUGGGGGUUGGAAAGUUUCGGCGGUUGGGGAUGGACUCGCGGCUUAUCAGCUUGUUGGUGGGGUAGUGGCUUACCAAGGCUUUGACGGGUAGCCGGCCUGAGAGGGUGACCGGCCACAUUGGGCCUGAGAGACGGCGCAGACUCCUACGGGAGGCAGCAGUGGGGAAUAUUGCACAGUGGGCGGAAGCCUGAUGCAGCAACGCCGCGUGCGGGAUGACGGCCUUCGGGUUGUAAACCGCUUUCGCCUGUGACGAAGCGUGAGUGACGGUAAUGGGUAAAGAAGCACCGGCUAACUACGUG
RNAcentral lists this ribosomal RNA (468 nucleotides) under uncultured bacterium. Its description in RNAcentral is "partial 16S ribosomal RNA". It matches the Rfam family "Bacterial small subunit ribosomal RNA", at positions 28 to 507 of the family's 1533-position model. The record is from RNAcentral.